GUUUAAAUUUUCUUUUUCUGCCAUUCGAAACUAUCUGGAUAGAUUGCAAGAUAUCUGCCAUCCAUUGAAAUAAUACUCAUACAAAAGUUGUUUGUGUUUAUUUAAUAUAAAUGUAAUUUAAAACUUUAUUUUGGCUUAUGGACCCUCUUGGGUGUUCCAAAAUUAAAUAGGCUUUGUUUGGGAGUUUGUGCAUGUUGGAAAUAAUAAUCCAAACUUAAUUAAAAUAUAGUUAUAGAGAAGUUUAAAUUUUUUAUUUAAUUAUGGUUAGGAUAUGUGAUUAUUCAAAGUAAAAUUGAAUUUAUCAUCUGUUAUGAUUUGAUGGUUAUAUAUAGUUAGGUAUGGAUUAAUUAGAGGAAUAAGUCACAGUAGAUAUGGUUGCAUAAGUAUUACCAAGAAUGUAAUUAAUUGUUUUUUAUUAAUAAAGUAUUAGUUUAGUUAUCUUCUUCCUCCUCCAAUAUCUCUUCUGUUUUAUUUUAAAUUUUAAGUUAUAUAAUCGGUAUCAGCAUAAAUACUAGUUUCAAUAAGUAGUAUCAAAGCAAAUAACG
Molecule: long non-coding RNA, 545 nt
Filed under: Ananas comosus (pineapple)
Lineage: Eukaryota; Viridiplantae; Streptophyta; Magnoliopsida; Poales; Bromeliaceae
Description: long non-coding RNA (ACOM_LNC023623)
Source: RNAcentral